GAUGAACGCUGGCGGCGUGCCUAACACAUGCAAGUCGAACGGAGCUGCUUUGAUGAAGUUUUCGGAUGGAUUUAAAACAGCUUAGUGGCGGACGGGUGAGUAACGCGUGGGUAACCUGCCUCACACUGGGGGAUAACAGUUAGAAAUAGCUGCUAAUACCGCAUAAGCGCACGGUUCCGCAUGGAACAGUGUGAAAAACUCCGGUGGUGUGAGAUGGACCCGCGUCUGAUUAGCCAGUUGGCGGGGUAACGGCCCACCAAAGCGACGAUCAGUAGCCGGCCUGAGAGGGUGAACGGCCACAUUGGGACUGAGACACGGCCCAAACUCCUACGGGAGGCAGCAGUGGGGAAUAUUGCACAAUGGGGGAAACCCUGAUGCAGCGACGCCGCGUGAGUGAAGAAGUAUUUCGGUAUGUAAAGCUCUAUCAGCAGGGAAGAAAGUGACGGUACCUGAAUAAGAAGCCCCGGCUAA
RNAcentral lists this ribosomal RNA (471 nucleotides) under uncultured bacterium. RNAcentral describes it as "bacterial SSU rRNA". It matches the Rfam family "Bacterial small subunit ribosomal RNA", at positions 28 to 500 of the family's 1533-position model. The record is from RNAcentral.